This 326-nucleotide ribosomal RNA is filed under the name uncultured Bacteroidota bacterium. RNAcentral describes it as "bacterial SSU rRNA". It matches the Rfam family "Bacterial small subunit ribosomal RNA", at positions 28 to 351 of the family's 1533-position model. The record is from RNAcentral. Lineage: Bacteria; Pseudomonadati; Bacteroidota.
GAUGAACGCUAGCGGCAGGCUUAAUACAUGCAAGUCGUACGGGAUCCGAGGUAGCAAUACUUUGGUGAGAGUGGCGCACGGGUGCGUAACACGUAUGCAACCUACCUUUAACCGGGACACAACCUCGAGAAAUUGAGGCUAAUAUCCCAUAACACUGCGAGAUGGCAUCAUUUUGCAGUUAAAACUCCGGUGGUUAUUGAUGGGCAUGCGCGACAUUAGCUAGUUGGUGAGGUAACGGCCCACCAAGGCUACGAUGUCUAGGGGUUCUGAGAGGAUUAUCCCCCACACUGGUACUGAGACACGGACCAGACUCCUACGGGAGGCUG